GAAAUGAGAGAUGGGGAUAGAGUUUAAGAAUAUUCGUGAUAAGCAGUACUAUAUUGUUCGUGCGAGUGUGUCCACUUGGAUGAUAUUUAUAUAUCAGCGAAAUACUCGUUUGCUGGCGAAGGAGAGAGUGAGAGAGAAAAGACAAGAUUCUCGAUAAGGAAGCGAAACGAAGAAAGACGGGGAAAGAGAAUUAUUAUGGAAACUGGUGCAAUGACACCUAAUUAAAUUCAGCAUUAUGGUCGAAUAUCGGACUGUCUGGCAUCUCUACACCAGUUCCUAGUUCAACCCUAAAAUGCCAGAUAAAGCGAUAUGAAGUUAAGAAUGGAGAAUUAGGUGUGCCGAAAAAAAGAAACCUUUCUAUAAUCUUGCAAAACUCGCGAGAUAAUCGAAAACUUAAUUUCUCAUAAGGAGAGAUUCGAUCGAAAGUUAACGGUCGAAUUUCGAUUGAUUUGAGAAUUAAGCUAAAAAGGAGGAGGAGGAGGAGGAAGAAGAAAAAUAGAAAGUUGGUAACUAACCGGACACGGUAAGGAAAGGAGCGAAAGCGAAUAGAACUCUUAGUAUCCUAUCAGAGGUUUCACCGGCCUCUCGAACAUCAAUAUCGGGCAAGAUCAGAACUUAAGGCAAUUGCGCACUGAUACAACAAAGGGCAUCGUCUAACGCGGUUAUACCUCAUACAGAGAGACCUUUUAUAUAUAUAAAAAAAAAGAAAUAGAGAGAAGUUUUCAACAUAACAUUAAGUCUGGUUAUUAAAUGUUUAAAAACGAUUGAUCAUGAUCGAGGAAUACGAAGAGGAAAACGAGAGGAAAAUCUUGCACAUUUACGCGCCACCCUAUAAAAUCGAGAGUAUAAGACAUCGUAUAAGCGAAUUUUUUUACGAUUUUGAAAAAAGUCGUUCUAAGUUUAAGUUUCCUAUAAAGUUUGAAAAAUUUAGAAAAUUUUUUGAAAGAGUGAGUCAUUUACAUAAAAUUCCUCAUUCGUUUUCA
Apis cerana (Asiatic honeybee) is the source of this 983-nucleotide long non-coding RNA. RefSeq lists it as uncharacterized. The record is from RefSeq and is a predicted model, not a curated record. NCBI's taxonomy places the organism in Eukaryota, Metazoa, Arthropoda, Insecta, Hymenoptera, Apidae.